GAUGAACGCUGGCGGCGUGCCUAAUACAUGCAAGUCGAGCGAACAGAUGAGGAGCUUGCUCCUCUGACGUUAGCGGCGGACGGGUGAGUAACACGUGGAUAACCUACCUAUAAGACUGGGAUAACUUCGGGAAACUGGAGCUAAUACCGGAUAAUAUAUUGAACCGCAUGGUUCAAUAGUGAAAGACGGUUUUGCUGUCACUUAUAGAUGGAUCCGCGCCGCAUUAGCUAGUUGGUAAGGUAACGGCUUACCAAGGCGACGAUGCGUAGCCGACCUGAGAGGGUGAUCGGCCACACUGGAACUGAGACACGGUCCAGACUCCUACGGGAGGCAGCAGUAGGGAAUCUUCCGCAAUGGGCGAAAGCCUGACGGAGCAACGCCGCGUGAGUGAUGAAGGUCUUCGGAUCGUAAAACUCUGUUAUUAGGGAAGAACAAAUGUGUAAGUAACUAUGCACGUCUUGACGGUACCUAAUCAGAAAGCCACGGCUAACUACGUG
RNAcentral lists this ribosomal RNA (497 nucleotides) under uncultured bacterium. RNAcentral's name for it is "partial 16S ribosomal RNA". It matches the Rfam family "Bacterial small subunit ribosomal RNA", at positions 28 to 507 of the family's 1533-position model. The record is from RNAcentral.